RNAcentral lists this ribosomal RNA (395 nucleotides) under uncultured bacterium. RNAcentral describes it as "bacterial SSU rRNA". It matches the Rfam family "Bacterial small subunit ribosomal RNA", at positions 505 to 898 of the family's 1533-position model. The record is from RNAcentral.
GUGUCAGCCGCCGCGGUAAUACGGAGGUUGCGAGCGUUGUUCGGAAUGACUGGGCGUAAAGGGAGCGCAGGCGGUUCGGUUUGUCCGGCGUGAAAGCCCGGGGCUCAACCCCGGCGGGCCGUCGGAAACGGCCGAACUCGAGUACGGAAGAGGAGAGCGGAAUUCCAGGUGUAGCGGUGAAAUGCGUAGAUAUCUGGAGGAACACCGGUGGCGAAAGCGGCUCUCUGGUCCGAUACUGACGCUCAGGCUCGAAAGCGUGGGGAGCAAACGGGAUUAGAUACCCCGGUAGUCCACGCCGUAAACGUUGUGCGCUAGGUGUAGGCGGUAUCGACCCCGCCUGUGCCGCAGCUAACGCAUUAAGCGCACCGCCUGGGGAGUACGCCCGCAAGGGUGAA